RNAcentral lists this unclassified non-coding RNA (286 nucleotides) under uncultured fungus. RNAcentral describes it as "sequence contains ITS1, 5.8S rRNA gene". The stretch from base 238 to 286 matches the Rfam family "5.8S ribosomal RNA", at positions 1 to 49 of the family's 154-position model. Lineage: Eukaryota; Fungi. The record is from RNAcentral.
UCUCCGUUGGUGAACCAGCGGAGGGAUCAUUGCUGGAACACGUCCCCCCGGGCGUACCCAGAAACCAUUUGUGAACUUAUAAGAACCCAUCGUUGCCUCGGCGCUGAGCUGGGGGCUUCUUUCCAAGGAGCUCUCCCAUGGUCUCUCGGGACGAUGGAGCAAGCCCGCCGGCGGCCCUUCUAAACUCUUGUUUUUAUUACGUAUCUCUUCUGAGUUAUUCAAAACAAAAUGAAUCAAAACUUUCAACAACGGAUCUCUUGGUUCUGGCAUCGAUGAAGAACGCAGC